ACUUAUUUAAUAUAAAAAAUAUAUUUGACUUCCAAUCAAAAAAUCUAAAAUUAGUUUAAGUA
Molecule: transfer RNA, 62 nt
Filed under: Thlaspida biramosa
Lineage: Eukaryota; Metazoa; Arthropoda; Insecta; Coleoptera; Chrysomelidae
Description: tRNA-Gly
Source: RNAcentral